RNAcentral lists this ribosomal RNA (638 nucleotides) under uncultured bacterium. RNAcentral's name for it is "bacterial SSU rRNA". It matches the Rfam family "Bacterial small subunit ribosomal RNA", at positions 80 to 736 of the family's 1533-position model. The record is from RNAcentral.
GUUUCCUGUGACUGAGUGGCGGACGGGUGAGUAACGCGUGGGUAACCUGCCUCAUACAGGGGGAUAACAGUUAGAAAUGGCUGCUAAUACCGCAUAAGCGCACGGCAUCGCAUGAUGCAGUGUGAAAAACUCCGGUGGUAUGAGAUGGACCCGCGUUGGAUUAGCUAGUUGGCAGGGUAACGGCCUACCAAGGCGACGAUCCAUAGCCGGCCUGAGAGGGUGGACGGCCACAUUGGGACUGAGACACGGCCCAGACUCCUACGGGAGGCAGCAGUGGGGAAUAUUGCACAAUGGGGGAAACCCUGAUGCAGCGACGCCGCGUGAGCGAAGAAGUAUUUCGGUAUGUAAAGCUCUAUCAGCAGGGAAGAAAAUGACGGUACCUGACUAAGAAGCCCCGGCUAACUACGUGCCAGCAGCCGCGGUAAUACGUAGGGGGCAAGCGUUAUCCGGAUUUACUGGGUGUAAAGGGAGCGUAGACGGCACGGCAAGCCAGAUGUGAAAGCCCGGGGCUCAACCCCGGGACUGCAUUUGGAACUGCUGAGCUAGAGUGUCGGAGAGGCAAGUGGAAUUCCUAGUGUAGCGGUGAAAUGCGUAGAUAUUAGGAGGAACACCAGUGGCGAAGGCGGCUUACUGGACGG